UCCGGUUUGUCACCGGCAGUCAUCCUAGAGUGCCCAGCUUCACCUGCUGGCAACUAAGAUCAAGGGUUGCGCUCGUUGCGGGACUUAACCCAACAUCUCACGACACGAGCUGACGACAACCAUGCACCACCUGUCUCCAAUGCUCCAAAGAGCGGCUCUAUCUCUAAAGCUUUCAUCGGGAUGUCAAGACCUGGUAAGGUUCUUCGCGUUGCUUCGAAUUAAACCACAUACUCCACUGCUUGUGCGGGUCCCCGUCAAUUCCUUUGAGUUUCAGUCUUGCGACCGUACUCCCCAGGCGGAAUGCUUAAUGUGUUUACUUCGGCACCAAGGGUAUCGAAACCCCUAACACCUAGCAUUCAUCGUUUACGGCGUGGACUAC
Molecule: unclassified non-coding RNA, 379 nt
Filed under: uncultured Paenibacillaceae bacterium
Lineage: Bacteria; Bacillati; Bacillota; Bacilli; Caryophanales; Paenibacillaceae
Description: contains 16S-23S intergenic spacer region
Source: RNAcentral